UCCUUUCCUGGAAGAGGAAAUGGCUGGUUCUGUUGAAGUUCAUUCCCUUCUGUAUUAAUUCUGAGAGCAGCAACGUCUUCCCCUACAUUUAGGAUUUUUUUUCUCCUAACUAAAGAAAUGAACUCAGGUUAAUCAUCUCUGGCUCCUGCGAUGGUGAUUCAAGAUAAAAGAUCUCACCUCUGCAGGCACGUCCGAUCUUUGCGUCCCCUGGAUCAACUCAGAGAAAUUCACGGCUUGAUUCUGGGAAUGAAAACCCCUCAGGGGCACAUUUGAAAUUCCUAGUCCUUCACACGUCAGUCAUUACUGAUCACGGACCACUUGGCAUCUUGCGGUUUGAAAGCGUCACUUGAUUUCCCAAACUGGAUCUCAUAAUUCUAUUAGAUUUGCUCCGUUGACUAUGCAGUUAGGAAAGGUUACUUCUUUUCCCUUCUUAAAAUUUAAACCUGC
Molecule: long non-coding RNA, 447 nt
Organism: Manis pentadactyla (Chinese pangolin)
Lineage: Eukaryota; Metazoa; Chordata; Mammalia; Pholidota; Manidae
Exons: 2
Source: RefSeq, a predicted model, not a curated record